RNAcentral lists this ribosomal RNA (481 nucleotides) under uncultured bacterium. RNAcentral's name for it is "partial 16S ribosomal RNA". It matches the Rfam family "Bacterial small subunit ribosomal RNA", at positions 28 to 506 of the family's 1533-position model. The record is from RNAcentral.
GACGAACGCUGGCGGCGUGCUUAACACAUGCAAGUCGAACGCUGAAGCUCAGCUUGCUGGGUUGAUGAGUGGCGAACGGGUGAGUAACACGUGAGUAACCUUCUCUCUUCUUUGGGAUAACGCCCGGAAACGGGUGCUCCUACUGGAUUUUCCCUGAUUCUCGCAUGUGGGGUGGUGGAAAGGUUUUUUCUGGUGGGGGAUGGUCCCUCGGCCUCUCAGCUUGUUGGUGGGGUGAUGGCCUACCAAGGCUUUUACGGGUUGCCGUCCUGGCAGAGUGACCGGUCACAUUGGGACUGAGAGACGGCCAAGACUCCUACGGGAGGCAGCAGUGGGGAAUAUUGCAGAAGGGGCGAAAGCCUGAUGCAGCAACGCCGCGUGAGGGAUGGAGGCCUUCGGGUUGUAACCCUCUUUCGCACAUGGUCAAGCCGCAGCUUUGGGUUGUGGGGAGGGUAGUGGGUAAAGAAGCGCCGACUAACUACGU